Molecule: long non-coding RNA, 3173 nt
Filed under: Strongylocentrotus purpuratus (purple sea urchin)
Lineage: Eukaryota; Metazoa; Echinodermata; Echinoidea; Camarodonta; Strongylocentrotidae
Description: uncharacterized LOC115922239, transcript variant X1
Source: RNAcentral
GGUCUGCAAUAUUGAUCAAGACUACAAGCCCCAAAACCCCCAAAUGCAAAUGCGACUCCCGCCUUUUUUGAACGGGUACAUACAGCAUGGCAUCCCUCUGUGCUACACUAUAGCACUGUACUGUGUGUCAAGGCAUGCAGUGUGUGCGUACAACCAGCCAGCUGCCAUGCAUGCCGUAUGAGACACACACAAGACAGCAAGACAGCCAUUCCUAUCAACAGCUACAGGAGCCAGAGCAGAGACAAAUCCUUUUAUUACUUUGUUUUCCCCUGCUAUUCUUCAAUAUGGGCAUCUGUUGACAUCUUUCGCCAAACAGUGGAUUCAAACACAUUGUGGCAACAGUAUAUUGACGUGAGACCAUGCAGAAAAUGCUACUUUCUCUCAACCUUCUGGAUCAGCAUUCAGCAGCGUAGCAGCCUCAUGACACAUUUGAAGCCUUUAUCGGUAAUUGGGCAGAUGUACUUGUAUUAUUUCUGUACAUAUAUUUUUCAUUCUUCCAUGAUCAUGACACUGAUUAAUUAGACAUCAAGAAUUAUUCAUUUCAUUCGAAUAAAAUGAGUUUCAUAUAUAUAUAAUUCAAUUAAUUUCAGAUCACUAAAACCUGCAGGUAUGUUGCAAUAACCGACCAUAUUUUGUGAGUUUCGAACAGUGUUCUUUUCCCUCCUCAGCAAUGGAGCUUUGAUUCUUCUUUUAUCACCAAACUAGAAUUGUAUUGAUAAUUAUUUACAAACAAAUCCUGAAUCAUGUUUGCAUUGCCAACAAACUUUUAAAAUGCAAAGGCAUGUUUAUAUUAUGUUUGUAAGCAAUGAGAGAUUAUUUUAUUUAGUACUUUUCAGACAGAAUUUAUUAUUUAAUUCAUUGUUUACGUUCUAGUUUUAAAAUGUAUAAACGUUUUUCUUAACUUGUUUUCCUUUCUUUUUGCUCUAUUGAUGCAUUAGAAUUCUUUGCGUGCAUGUACCCUGGAUCAAGCAGCACUUGCCUUAUACAGGAGAUUCUACCCAAAAUCUAAACCAUGAGUCCCAGCUGAAGAGGAAUAUUUCCAAAAUGAGGUCUACACACAUAGAGGUUACUUUCCCCUUCAUUAUAGAGAUACAGAGAGAGGGAGAGAGAGAUGGGGGGGGGGGGGGGGAGUGAGUUAUAGCCACGAACCUGAAUAGCUUAGCUGUAGAACUGAAAUGCCCAUUCAUGUCACUUGCCAUUUUGAUGAAUUACAGGGUUUACAAACAUACAUGUAGGCCUACAUUUUUACCCUUUGGGGAAAAGAUCUUGGUAUUUGCGUAUAUUUGUUAUUACUAUUUAUGACGUAGACCUGUUUCAUAAUGCGUAUGUAGUAGAUCAGUCUCGUGCUCACCCCCACCCCCUUCGUAUCGAAAUGUCAAUUCCAAAAACCUGUGGCAAAUUAUAUAUAUUGGUAAUAGAGAAAAAUUGAGUGAGGUAAAUGCAAUACAAAUCUAUUCCAAUCUUAAGCACUUAAGACUUGUUAAGGAAUGGCACGUGAACCGCCAAAAAAUUAAAAAAAUUGUGUCUUGAAAUAAAUGGGAAAGUAGUCCUGCAGCUCAUCAUAGUGACGUACAUUACCGAUUCAGCCAAUUUAAAAUGCCCAUAGGUUUAGUGAUCACAGCUUUCAACAAUCCAUAACCACCUUAUUUUGUGUCAGAUUUAAUGUGGUAUUUUUUAAAAGUAUAGUUGUCUGUUAAGGUUGGAUUUCUCUUUAAAAAGUGUAAAGGGUAAGCCCUAUGUAACAUAAUGUGAUGAGGCAAUUUUCGUUAUAAAACCAAAUCAAAGUGCCGCGGAACAAAUUAUUUCGUUCACCUGUUAAGAAUAAUGGUAUUUCGAUAGUCAGAAUGCGAAAUGCAAACAUGUGUUGUUAGGUAGGGCAACACAUAAUGUAUUCAAUUUGCAUUCUGACUAUUUAAAUACAUUUAUUGGUAAAAGGUGAAUUUAAUAAUUGGUAAUGAGGCACUUAACGAGGACCUAUUCAUUAAAUUUGAUAAUUACAAUACGACAAUGGCCUACAUGUAUUCAUAUGAAUGGGAAAUCUUUGAACUGUUAUGUCGUUUCUGAGGGUUCAUAAUUUUAUAUGUUCAAGGAUUCAUAAUUCUACAAAUGAAGUAGGGUUCUUAAUUCUGAAAAUGAACUAGGAUUCAUAAUUCCAAAAAUGGAAUAUGGUUCAUAAUUCCGAAAAUUAAAUAGGGCUCAAUAUACUUCCAAAAGUUUAUUAUUCUGAAAAUGCAAAUAGAACCCUUUAUCCUUUUUGGAAUUACGAACCGUCAAUAUAAUGAAUCCUAUUUUAUAUUCAAAAUAAUACCAUUUCAUUUGCGGAAAUAUUAACCCUAUUUUAAUAUCGUUAUUAACGCCCCUUUUUCGAUUCCAGAAUUACGCACCCUAUUUAUUUUUCGUAAUUAUGAAAUCUAUUUCAUUUCUAAAUUCAAACCUUUUAAAAUAUGGACCAUAUUUCAUUUGUUUAUCAAAUGUCAGGAGGAAAUUGAAAUUUGUCAUAAUACAUUGUACUAUCAAGUUACAUUUAUUGAUGAACAGCACACUCUUUAGUUACCAUAAUAUCACAUCACUUGUCAAAAUAAUAAGGCCGUGAAUGAUUUUCUUUUGCUUGUGAAUGUAGUAGGCUUAUAUUAUGUAGUACACAAUAUUUCAUUUCCAAUUGCUGCAACUUUAUAUCAAUCCUUUACAUAUACUUUGACAAUCUACAGGUAAAAAUCAUGCUUUGAGUUAUCAUUUGUGAAUUAUUCUCCAAAUUGAAAUGCAUGAAUAAAGUACUUAAAUUUGUGCAAGUGAACUUAUUCUCUAUGGUGGAAAAUUACAAAAGAAAUUUCUCAUCAAAAAUGCAUGCUCAUUGUUUCUACUCAUGAUACUUACCGUAAGAAAACUUGUAAAUUGCCAAACCUACUCUUUUAAACAUCUACUCCAAAUUUUCAAGAUUGAUUUCUCUCUGUUAAAACUGGCCAUAACUUUUAGACAAUAAUUACACAAUUUAACAGUUUUUUGUGUGUCUUCUUUUGUUGUUGAAAUGUGUAAAAAAAAAAAAAAAAAAAAAAAAAAUCCUUUUUUAUUUAAGCUGUUAAACGUUCAUGUAAUUGUAAUCACUAUAUGAUGUAUGAUAUUCUGACAGAUAAUAAAAGGAUACACUGUUAAGUGUUAAAUAUGAUAAAGAUGAA